This 75-nucleotide microRNA precursor is filed under the name Myotis lucifugus (little brown bat). Its description in RNAcentral is "mir-9229 microRNA precursor family". It matches the Rfam family "mir-9229 microRNA precursor family". Lineage: Eukaryota; Metazoa; Chordata; Mammalia; Chiroptera; Vespertilionidae. The record is from Rfam by way of RNAcentral.
AGACACCCUUCUGGGGCAAGACUUGCUUCAGUGGGGCUUUGGUGCUCACUGAGUCUGCCCCAUGAGUGUGUCCCU